Molecule: ribosomal RNA, 448 nt
Filed under: uncultured bacterium
Lineage: Bacteria
Description: bacterial SSU rRNA
Rfam family: Bacterial small subunit ribosomal RNA
Source: RNAcentral
GAUGGCGACCGGCGCACGGGUGAGUAACACGUAUCCAACCUGCCGUCUACUCUUGGACAGCCUUCUGAAAGGAAGAUUAAUACAAGAUGGCAUCAUGAGUCCGCAUGUUCACAUGAUUAAAGGUAUUCCGGUAGACGAUGGGGAUGCGUCCCAUUAGAUAGUAGGCGGGGUAACGGCCCACCUAGUCUUCGAUGGAUAGGGGUUCUGAGAGGAAGGUCCCCCACAUUGGAACUGAGACACGGUCCAAACUCCUACGGGAGGCAGCAGUGAGGAAUAUUGGUCAAUGGGCGCAGGCCUGAACCAGCCAAGUAGCGUGAAGGAUGACUGCCCUAUGGGUUGUAAACUUCUUUUAUAAAGGAAUAAAGUCGGGUAUGUAUACCCGUUUGCAUGUACUUUAUGAAUAAGGAUCGGCUAACUCCGUGCCAGCAGCCGCGGUAAUACGGAGGAU